AUUUGCUUUGUCCAGGGGUCCUUGGUAUCCUCUUCACUGUCGAUUUUUUUUUUUUUUUAAUCAGUAUUUCAGCAUGGAGAUGUUGUAUAGUCCUGUGAAACAUGUCUUAAUGCAGAUAAUUAGAAUUUUCUGUAUUUAAGGUAUGUAUUAAACCUAAUUGUAGGUAAACUGUGCCAUUACUGCUUUCUCAGAGACCUGGGGCGUAAUAAAAAUACAUACCAGAAGCAGUCACAUACCAUGUCGAAGAAGCUACUCUAGGUUUGCUAUCUAUCCUAGUGCUGUGUUAAAUUUUGUCUGAGUUACUGACAGCUUUUAGUGAAUCUCUCAUGUUUCAAACCUGGGGGCCAUAUACAGUCUCUUGACCCUCACUUAGCAUCUACACACCUUCCUAAGAUAUCAGUAGCUGGUCUGAAAAUAAACUCCUAGGCGGGUGAAGGUAGUGCACAUCUUUAACCCAGUCACUGAGGCAAAGGCAGAUGAUUUCUGGGUUCUAGGCCAGCCUGGUCUGCACAGUGCAUUCCAGGACAGCGAGGGCUGUGUUUUUUGAGACCCUAUCUGGAAAAAAGGGGGAAAAUGAUAGUUUACAGCACCUUACUUAGGCCCAUUGGAUUAUGAACAAAGGUAUGUGGUUUGCUCAGUAUUUGAGUAAAGGUGCAGGUAUUGGGGAGCUCUUUUAGUACAGAUCUGGUUGUACAGAAAGUACACACACAAAUCUGUAAGAUGUUAAAUUGGUUAUUGAGUGUCUUACUUAAAGAGUUUUAAAUCUUGUCUUAAUGAAAAUGAUCUUUGCUCAACUGCUAUUUUUGUUGUCCCAUGUUAUUUGAGUACUUUUGGGCUGUGUUUAAUACUUAUUAAAGAAAUAGAAACUUAAGUUUUGCCCUGAGUUUGGUGGGAAGCAGGUACUGAUAUCUUAAAUGCCGUUGGUUUGGGGUACCAAUCGUAAGCAAGUGUUGGUGGAGAAGGGAGAGGUGAAUACCUCCUGAUAAUUGGAAUUGUAAGCUUUAGUGAACAGUCUUAACUGCUAACCCCUCUUCCAACAAACUGUUUGCUUCCUUAAGUGAUAACCAUUUUGAGGUGGACAUUAGCUGUAGAUGUAGAUGGACUCCUGCGCUAGGUGGUUGGGGGUUUUUGCCUCAGUGUGUCACUGAUCAGUCGUCCCUUUCAAAGUCUCCGAGUUCUUCAUGCUUGUUAUUGAGAUUUGAGAUGUUUUUUGGUAACAUUGUCUUUUUUCCAUCCUUUUUUUUCUUUCCUAACCUGGUUUCUUCCAGUGCAACUACAGAUAGAAGACCUGACUCGUAAACUGCGCACAGGAGACCUGGGCAUCCCCCCUAACCCUGAGGACAGGUUGGGAAACAGUUUUAACCAGCUGACAGUAACGCUUUUACCUUUUUUCUCAAUAUGUUUUUACUGGUGGCAACAUAUUGUGUCAGUUCAAUAACUCCUAGUUAAGACGACUGGUAUUCUGACCAGAGUAGACUAUAUGCUCAGUCAACAGUUAGAAAAGUUCUCUUAAUGGGAGAAUAAGUUAAAGAAAAUGGUUAACUGGUUUCUAAUUGGUAAGCAUAUAGGUUUUAACCUGGUAAUUUGCCCACCCCUAGGGACAGUGAGAGGUGGCCAUUAACCUGCCUUUUCACUGGCUGCUUUGGCUGAAAGCACAGGGGGU
Molecule: long non-coding RNA, 1663 nt
Filed under: Mus musculus (house mouse)
Lineage: Eukaryota; Metazoa; Chordata; Mammalia; Rodentia; Muridae
Description: long non-coding RNA chr19:6367095-6368758
Source: RNAcentral